This 602-nucleotide ribosomal RNA is filed under the name Ophioparma ventosa. RNAcentral's name for it is "eukaryotic LSU rRNA". It matches the Rfam family "Eukaryotic large subunit ribosomal RNA", at positions 1 to 606 of the family's 3401-position model. The record is from RNAcentral. Lineage: Eukaryota; Fungi; Ascomycota; Lecanoromycetes; Umbilicariales; Ophioparmaceae.
UGACCUCGGAUCAGGUAGGGAUACCCGCUGAACUUAAGCAUAUCAAUAAGCGGAGGAAAAGAAACCAACAGGGAUUGCCCCAGUAACGGCGAGUGAAGCGGCAGCAGCUCAAAUUUGAAAUCUGGUCCCUCCGGGGCCCGAGUUGUAGUUUGUAGAGGAUGCUUCGGGUGCGGUGCCGGUCUAAGUUCCUUGGAACAGGACGUCAUAGAGGGUGAGAAUCCCGUAUGUGACCGGCGACCAAGCCUAUGUGAAGCUCCUUCGACGAGUCGAGUUGUUUGGGAAUGCAGCUCUAAAUGGGUGGUAAAUUUCAUCUAAAGCUAAAUACCGGCCAGAGACCGAUAGCGCACAAGUAGAGUGAUCGAAAGAUGAAAAGCACUUUGGAAAGAGAGUUAAAAAGUACGUGAAAUUGUUGAAAGGGAAGCGCUUGCGACCAGACUUGCCCGCGGGUGAUCAGCCGUUAUUUUUACCGGUGCACUCGCCCGUGGCCAGGCCAGCAUCGGUUCGGGCGGUUGGAUAAAGGCCCGGGGAAUGUAGCUCCCUCCGGGGAGUGUUAUAGCCCGGGGUGCAAUGCGGCCAGCCUGGACCGAGGACCGCGCUCCGGC